UUAGAGGAAGUAAAAGUCGUAACAAGGUUUCCGUAGGUGAACCUGCGGAAGGAUCAUUAUUGAAUAAACUUGGUUGGGUUGCUGCUGGUUCUUCGGAACAUGUGCACACCUGGCGCCAUUUUUACCACCUGUGCACCUUUUGUAGACCUGGAUAUCUCUCGAGGAAACUCGGUUUGAGGACUGCUGUGCGCAAGCCAGCUUUCCUUACAUUUCCGGUCUAUGUUUUUAUAUACCCCAUCAGAAUGUAACAGAAUGUCAUUAAUAGGCCUUGGUGCCUUUAAAUAAAAUACAACUUUCAACAACGGAUCUCUUGGCUCUCGCAUCGAUGAAGAACGCAGCGAAAUGCGAUAAGUAAUGUGAAUUGCAGAAUUCAGUGAAUCAUCGAAUCUUUGAACGCACCUUGCGCUCCUUGGUAUUCCGAGGAGCAUGCCUGUUUGAGUGUCAUUAAAUUCUCAACCUUUCUGGCUUUUAUUAGUCCGUUAGGCUUGGAUGUGGGAGUUGCGGGCUUCUCAGAAGUCAGCUCUCCUUAAAUGCAUUAGCGAAACCUUUGUUGACCAUCUCUGGUGUGAUAAUUAUCUACGCCAUUGGGAAGCAGCUUUAAAAUCGGUUUAGCUUCUAACCGUCUUCUGGACAAUUCUUGACAUUUGACCUCAAAUCAGG
Molecule: ribosomal RNA, 660 nt
Filed under: Atractosporocybe sp. 'inornata var. ianthinophylla'
Lineage: Eukaryota; Fungi; Basidiomycota; Agaricomycetes; Agaricales; Lyophyllaceae
Description: eukaryotic LSU rRNA
Rfam family: 5.8S ribosomal RNA (bases 291-444)
Source: RNAcentral